RNAcentral lists this unclassified non-coding RNA (315 nucleotides) under fungal sp. Its description in RNAcentral is "partial internal transcribed spacer region". The stretch from base 1 to 46 matches the Rfam family "Eukaryotic small subunit ribosomal RNA", at positions 1786 to 1831 of the family's 1831-position model. The record is from RNAcentral. Lineage: Eukaryota; Fungi.
AAGUCGUAACAAGGUUUCCGUAGGUGAACCUGCGGAAGGAUCAUUAGCAAGAUUGCCUCCUCGCUCAUCAUUGCCCCCUCCAUUUUGUGGAUGGUGGUGAUGGUGGGAAGGGGAAGAAAGGCAAGUGCCAUCCUUGUGUUAUGUUUUUCAUAUGUAUGUGUGUGUGUGUGUUGCGCGAUUCAUUCGCGCAUCCGCGCGCAUCACUUUUACCAUUCAACACUCUUUACCAUUCAUAUUCUGAACAAACCUUGUCAUUGCUCGCAAGAGCAUGCACAAACCAACCGAAAACUGCCAGCAAUGGAUCACUCGGUUCUC